UCGGCGAGUCAAUGCCCUGACUCGGCGAGUCCAAGGCAAUCUUCAUAGCUCAAGAACAGACUCGGCGAGUUGUUCAUACAACUCGGCGAGUCUUAGCAUAAAGUGUUCAUCGGAUGAAGAUGAACUCGACGAGUUGUUCAUACAACUCGGCGAGUAGGAUGAAGGUGUUGAAUGGCAGUUAGAAGGUGAACUCGUCGAGUCAUAGCCCGACUCGACGAGUAGAACCAGGGACCCAGGACAUUGGUUUGCUAGGGACUCGGCGAGUGGUGAUCCACUCGGCGAGUCGGGUCAACUGAAAGUUGACUCCAGCUUUGGCUUAGAGUUAAUCCAGGGGUAAAAUGGUCAUUUUACCUAAAGGACAGUUAGCAGUGUUUGAUUGAGUAUGUCGUGGAAAUUGCAGCCGGAGGACUCCCGGAGCAGCAGCAGUCAGUUAGUUCCCGAUCAGUUCAGCAGCUACUUUGAGGUGAGUUACCUUCCAGUAGCGGUGGGUCUAAGGCCACAAUGCCGACCCACCAGUAGGAGUUGUAUGAUAGAUGAUUGUCUUUGUGAUAUCAUCUAAGUUCGCUAGUACCUGACAUGUUAUAUGCUAGCAUGAUAUGCUGUAUGUGAUAGUAGUAGAGUUUGGUUGUUCGGACCGAAGGGUAGUCAGACACCCCAGAUACGUCUGACAGUAUGUGACGAUAUGUAUGCAUGCUGGCUUGUUAUGUUAUAUGUGAUCGUAGUAGUAGGGGUGAAAUAGUCCCCGAGGAUCGGUUGUUAGGACCGAUGGGUAGUCAGCACCCCAGAAUGGCUUGACACGGGUAAGACGGCACCCCAGAAUGGCCGUAUGGGUAGGUCGGCACCCCAGAAUGGCCGUACCGGGUAGUCAGGCACCCCAGAAUAGCCUGGCAGUAUAUAUGUUAUGUGUUUGUAUGGUAUGCGGUACGUUGGGGGAACUCACUAAGCUUUGUGCUUACGUUUACAGUUUUGUUUUCAGGUACCUCUGCAUCGAAGGGGAAGGAGCCGGCGCGGUAGCGGCACGUCAUACACACACUCUUCGGUUUCCGCAUUUAUGAGAUUUACUGGGAUUGUACUCUGAUAUUUGAUGGGAUGUACGGUUUGGCUUUUGAGAACAUGGUUGCAAUGUGUUAUGGUGUGAACAAACAAUGUUUCUUUUUAUUUAGACAAUGUUUUUAUUUAUUAAUGUUUUCUAAAGUAAUAUCAAAAAAAAAAAAAAAUAAAAUUUGGGUCGUUACAAGUUGGUAUCAGAGCCCUGGUUUGAGGGAUUCGGACACGCCUUCGGGAGUGUUUGGACUCAAACCGAGGGAUUGAAAGAUUUUUCCAAAAGAAAUUAUUCUUUAAAACCCGGAAAAGAGUCACGAGAAAGAGUAAAGUGUGUGACGUGCGCGACCGGCCGAGCUCAAGUAAGUAUUCCCCAUAGUACCCAUACAAGUUUAUGUUAUGUUUAUCAGCUUUAUGAAUAUUGCAUGCUAGAAUAGGCUAAGGAUCUAGGAGUGAUGCCUUAUGUGCCUGUUUAUUUGUUCCAGCUUAUUGAAUAUUGCAUGCUAGAAUUGAGUAGACAGCAGUAGGGUAGCCUGUUUAGGUUAUGCCUGAUAGUAUGAGCUUAGCAUCCUAUGUUAAGUGUCGUUUCUUGUUCUAAGAACAGUUUUGGCUUGAGUCUGUUUUUCCUUAUCCGAAUGCUGCUUGCUUCGUGCUCGGUGGGAUUCUGAGUAAUGGGAGUGAGCCACUAGGUAAACACGUCACACCACAUGUAAUCAGGGUUGAAUAAUCCCAAAGUGUUGGAACUGGCCCUAUUGCGCAGCUCUUGUUUGAGUCCAACCGUUGUAGGGACGGAUCUUUUACUUGAAGGAUUAUCUAAUCCUCAUUACAUGUGAUGGUGUUUAGGUGGUGGCUAACUGGCAUUAUGAGGAGACCUACAGCAGCUGAGGACCAGUUGUGUUGAACUUGAGUUCUCCCUAGGGCAAGCCUAGGGUGAGAAUAUCGGAGAGUAGCAGUAGUAGAGGGGAGUUGGUGGAGUCGAGGAAUUCCUCGGAGAAGGUACGGAUAGAUGUGGAAGGUAGUAUGGGCCCGUACUACUGAAAGCAGAGGAUCCGUACCCGAGCCGAGGAAGGCCAAGACGAGACCAAGGAACCUGUAAGUAGUUGAGAUCCCUCAGAAAGUAGCAGUACCACUAAUGAUUAUUAUUGAUGUUUUGCAGAAUGGUGGUACUUCGACCGAGACCGACAGAUGGCGGGUCAGGAGAGGGGUCAGGUUCGGGAUCUGGCACCGAGCCGAUUGAGGAGAGGCUACGUGAGUUCAUCACGUCGGAGAUCACUAGGGGCAUCCUUGAGUCGACCCCCAUCAUCUUUGGGUCGAUCAAGGAAGGGAUCGUGGAGAUGAUGGAGGAUCGCCUACGGGCAUUCAGGAGCGACUUGGCCUCUAGCCAGUCAGGAUCUCGCACACUGUCCUUCAAGGACUUCAGGAGCAGUGGUGCGCCGGAUUUCCAUGGGGUGAAGGACCCCAUUGUCGCCAGGCGGUGGAUUGCGGAUAUCGAGUCCGCCCAGUUGAUCAGCUUCUGCCCCGAGGGGUCGAAGGUGAGGUACGCAGCAGGGUGUUUACGGGACCGGGCCCGAGAUUGGUGGGAGUCAGUGGGUGACUCGAUGGGAGCCUCGGCUGUCGAGGCAAUGACCUGGUCGGACUUUGUGACUAGGUUCAGGGCAGAGUUUGCGCCAGCGGUCGAGCUUCAGCAGCUGGCCAGGGAGUUCUUAGACAUGAGGCAGACGACAGAGACCGUGGCGGAGAUCACCGCCAAGUUUCGGGAGAGGGCUUUAUUGGUGCCCCAGUAUGCAGGUGACGAGGAUAUGAGGAGGACUCGUUACCACGACAUGCUACGAGCUGACAUUCGGGAGCAUGUUAGCUUUUCGGCUUGCCCUACCCUGGACUCCAUGAUUGCCAGGGCUAGGGAGAGAGAGAUAGAUUUGGAGCACAUCCGGAAACGGAAACUUGAGGAUGGUCAGUCAUCGGGGGCUUCGGGGAAGAAGCCCAAGGGAUCAGAUGGGAGGCCGAAAGGCCAGUCGGGACCGAGCCGCUGCAGGAGGUGCGGCAGGCCGCACGAGGGGGCGUGCAGGAUGGGAUCGUCAGGCUGCUACAAGUGCGGCAAGUUUGGGCAUAUCAGCAGGGAUUGCACUGCUCCUGCGACCGUUAUUCAGACAUCGGAGUUGCUGUGUUUCCACUGCAACCAGAGGGGCCACAAGAAGGCCAAUUGCCCCAUGUUGACAGCUUCAGCGCCAGUGAAGGCGCCAGCUCCAGCGACCCUGCGGAUCACGGAUGGCCGUCAGGGCAAGGCAGAGGCUCCAGUGGUGAGGAGUCGGGCAUUUCAGUUGACUGCCGAGGAGGCACGCGCCGCGCCCGAUGUGGUGACGGGUAUGAUUCCUUCCUUCUAUCUUUUAUUUUACGUUGUUAUGAUAUUGAUAUGUGCUCCGUGUGUAUACAUGUGUAUUAGGAUCGUUCCAUGUGAACGGCAUCCCGGUUCAGGUAUUGUUCGACUCGGGUGCAUCCCGAUCGUUCGUUUCUCUUGCUCUUAGCAAGAGAUUUCAUGAGACUUCAGGCGAGUUAGAUUGCCCGUUAGAGGUAGAGAUUGCCGAUGAUCGAUCGGUGCGAGCAUCGAUGGUGUUUCGAGAUUGUGUCCUGCGACUGUUUGAGGAGUGUUACCUGGUAGACUUGGUUCCCAUUCCAUUGCGUGGGAACAAGGUGAUUAUUGGUAUGGAUUGGUUGAGCCCUAAUGGGGCAGUGAUAGAUUGCGCACAGCAGCUAGUGCGAGUCAAGACCCCAAGCGGGGGAGAGUUAGUGAUUCAUGGAGAGCGGCCGCAGUGUGGACCCACUGUAUGUUCAGCAGCGAGGGCUAGGCGCUACCUUCAGCAGGGAUGCGCGGGUUAUGUCGCGUACGUGAUGGACACCCGGGAGGCGGGUAAGGCGACCGUGAGCGAGGUCCCGGUGGUUCGAGAUUUUGCUGAUGUUUUUCCGGAGGAACUACCUGGGAUACCUCCGGAGCGACAGGUGGAGUUCAGGAUUGACCUCGUUCCCGGUGCGGCUCCGAUAGCCAAAGCACCGUAUCGGUUGGCUCCUCCCGAGAUGCAGGAGUUGUCUACGCAGCUGCAGGAGCUGCUGGACAAGGGAUUUAUUCGGCCGAGCAGUUCGCCCUGGGGAGCCCCGAUUCUGUUUGUGAAGAAGAAGGAUGGGUCGCAUCGGAUGUGUAUAGAUUAUCGGGAGCUGAACAAGGUAACGGUGAAGAACCGUUACCCGCUUCCGAGGAUUGAUGACCUCUUUGACCAGCUUCAGGGCGCAUCUUGGUUCUCCAAGAUUGAUUUGCGUUCGGGUUAUCAUCAGAUGAGGGUCAGGGAGGAGGAUAUGCAGAAGACCGCGUUUCGGACGCGCUAUGGCCAUUACGAGUUUGUGGUGAUGCCGUUUGGGCUCACCAAUGCUCCUGCCGCGUUCAUGGACCUCAUGAACCGUGUAUGCAGACCGAUGCUGGACCGGUCUGUGAUAGUCUUUAUCGAUGAUAUCUUGGUUUAUUCCAAGACCCGGGAGGAACAUGAGGAGCAUUUGAGAGAGGUGUUAGAGACCCUGAGGAGGGAGAGCUUGUAUGCCAAGUUCUCCAAGUGUGAGUUUUGGUUGCGCGAGGUGCAAUUUCUGGGGCACCUCGUCAACCAGAACGGGAUUCUGGUCGAUCCGGCCAAGGUCGAGGCCGUGAUGAGAUGGGAGGUUCCGAAGUCCCCAUCUGAGAUUCGGAGCUUCCUAGGAUUGGCAGGCUACUAUCGGAGAUUUAUCCAGGAUUUCUCCAAGAUAGCCGUGCCCCUGACGCGGCUGACGAAGAAAGCCGUGGUCUUUCGGUGGGGACCCGAGCAGCAGGCUGCAUUUGAGACGCUGAGACAGAGAUUGUGUGAGGCGCCGAUCUUAGCCCUGCCAGAGGGCGUAGAGGAUUUCGUGGUUUAUUGCGAUGCGUCCAUUUCUGGGUUGGGCGCGGUGCUGAUGCAAAGGGGGCAUGUCAUUGCUUACGCUUCGAGGCAGCUCAAGCCUCACGAGGCGAACUACCCGACGCACGAUUUGGAGUUGGGGGCGGUGGUAUUUGCCCUCAAGAUUUGGCGACAUUACCUCUAUGGGGUUCGGUGUACCAUCUACACGGACCACAAGAGCUUGAGGUACCUCAUGGACCAGCCGAAUCUGAACAUGAGGCAGCGUCGGUGGUUGGAUGUGGUGAAGGAUUAUGAUUGCGAGAUCCUUUACCACCCGGGAAAGGCCAAUGUGGUGGCCGAUGCGCUUAGCCGCAAGACGGCGCCGAUCAGGGACGCCUGUUUGAGGAUGACUGUGGUGACUCCCCUGUUGGAGCAGAUUCGGGAAGCUCAACAGGAGGCUAUCAAGGAGGAGCAUCGGAAGAACGAGCGCGUAGUAGGUCAGGUUUCCUCCUUCGAUUAUGAUAGCCGAGGGUUAUUGACACUACACCAUAGGGUGUGGGUGCCGUAUCACGGGGGCGUGCGCCAGAUUUUGAUGGAGGAGGCGCACAAGUCCCGAUUCUCUAUUCAUCCCGGGGCGACGAAGAUGUAUAGGGAUCUUCGUCUAGACUAUUGGUGGCCCUGCAUGAAGCGGGAUGUGGCAUGGUACGUCGAGCGGUGCUUGACCUGCAGGAAGGUCAAGGCCGAACAUCAGAGGCCGCAUGGCAAGAUGCAGCCGUUGGACAUUCCACUGUGGAAGUGGGAAGAUAUCACGAUGGAUUUUAUCACGAAGCUUCCCAGGACCGCGCGUGGAGUGGAUUCGAUUUGGGUCAUCGUGGAUAGAUUGACCAAGAGUGCUCACUUUAUUCCGAUUCCGGAGAGCAUAUCGGCCGAGAAAUUGGCCGACAUCUAUAUCAGGGAGAUUGUGGCACGGCAUGGGGUGCCAGUAUCGGUGAUCUCGGACAGGGAUGUGCGUUUUACUUCCAGGUUUUGGAAGAGAUUCCAUGACGAGUUGGGCACUCGUCUGCAUUUCAGCACCGCCUUUCACCCGCAGACAGAUGGACAGAGUGAGCGGACCAUCCAGACUUUGGAGGACAUGUUGCGGGCGUGUGUUCUGGAUUUCGGUGGUAGCUGGGAUACCUAUCUUCCUUUGGCUGAGUUCUCCUACAACAACAGCUAUCACGCGAGUAUCGACCGCCCUCCCUUCGAGAUGUUGUACGGACGGAGGUGUAGGACCCCGAUAUGCUGGGGUGAGGUUGGCCAGAGAGUUAUGGGAAGCACCGAAGUGGUGCUCAAGACGACUGAGAGGAUACAGCAGGUCCGGAGCAGGCUUCAGACUGCUCAGAGUCGACAGAAAAGUUAUGCCGACAAGCGUCGAUCCGAUUUAGAGUUCCAGGUCGGGGAUAUGGUCCUCCUGAAGGUGUCGCCGUGGAAAGGCGUCAUCCGAUUCAGGAAGCGGGGCAAGUUGGGCCCGCGAUUCAUCGGACCGUUCAGGGUCUUAGCCCGGGUGGGCAAGGUAGCAUAUAGGCUGGAUCUGCCAGCCGAGCUUAGCCAGAUCCACAGCACUUUCCAUGUUUCGCAGUUGCGGAAGUGCCUAGUGGACGAUUCUGCAGUAGUACCUUUGGAGGAUAUUCAGGUUGAUGACAGCCUGAACUACAUCGAGCGCCCAGUCGCAAUCCUCGACAGGAAGUCGAAGGAUUUAAGGAACAAGAGGGUGGAGCUAGUGAAGGUGCAAUGGCAGCACCGCAAGGGUUCAGAGUGGACUUGGGAGCCGGUAGACGAGAUGAUGGAGCACUACCCCGAGCUGUUUCAGGAUCAGGCAGCAGACUUCGAGGACGAAGUCUAAAAUAAGUGGGGGAGAUGUGUAGCACCUGGUUUCCGGUAUGUGAAUUUUAUUUGAGCAUUGCCCUAAUUUAGCCUUAGACUCGGCGAGUCAUAGGGUCCGACUCGCCGAGUAGGGACGAGACUCAGGACGCGUUUUAAGUAGGCGACUCGACGAGUCCAUAUCCUGGACUCGGCGAGUCACCGCUGCGGGAUGAAACCCUAAGUUUCAAGGGUUUGCACCCUAUUUAAACUCUCAUUCCGCCCCAACUCGUCCCCAUUCACCCCCAGAACUCCCCCUACAUCGUUUUCCCUUGUUUUCUUGAGAGUUUGAGGUGUUCUUGGUGUGUUCUUGAAGGUUUUGAAGAGUAAGAGGAGUAGAUCAAGAAGAGGAGAAGGAGAUCAGCCAUCCUUGUGUCAUUUCAACAUUUCCUUUGAGGUAUAACCCGUUUUCCCCUUGAUUCUAUGCUUAAAACUUCAUUUGGGUCCUUCUUGGUCAAUUCCCCAAGUUUGCAUGUUCAUUAUAUGUUGUAAUAAGGCGUUUGGCCUUUGGAUCUAUGUAAGAUUGAGCUCCAGGAGCUCAGAUCUGUUAGCUUUUUGGCCUCAUGAGGCUUGUUAGCCCUAGAUCUACCAUUUUGAGACAUUUUGAGCCUUAUAAUCCAUAUUGGUGAAUAUCCACACGUAAAGUUGGAAACUUUACGUGUGAUUCGUGUCCUAGAAGUCCAGAUCUAUGAAUGGCAUGGUCUGGAACCGAGCAAAUCGGUAUAUUUAAGGAGUGCAUGGCGACGACUCGGCGAGUCGCAUAGGUGACUCGGCGAGUCUGGUCGCGAGUCACCGAAUUGGUCCCUUCUUCAUGUGUCGAGUUGAGCCUUGAGUCACAGGGGGUGACUCGGUGAGUUGGGAGCUGAACUCACCCAUGUUAGGACUCGGCGAGUCAAUGCCCUGACUCGGCGAGUCCAAGGCAAUCUUCAUAGCUCAAGAACAGACUCGGCGAGUUGUUCAUACAACUCGGCGAGUCUUAGCAUAAAGUGUUCAUCGGAUGAAGAUGAACUCGACGAGUUGUUCAUACAACUCGGCGAGUAGGAUGAAGGUGUUGAAUGGCAGUUAGAAGGCGAACUCGUCGAGUCAUAGCCCGACUCGACGAGUAGAACCAGGGACCCAGGACAUUGGUUUGCUAGGGACUCGGCGAGUGGUGAUCCACUCGGCGAGUCGGGUCAACUGAAAGUUGACUCCAGCUUUGGCUUAGAGUUAAUCCAGGGGUAAAAUGGUCAUUUUACCUAAAGGACAGUUAGCAGUGUUUGAUUGAGUAUGUCGUGGAAAUUGCAGCCGGAGGACUCCCGGAGCAGCAGCAGUCAGUUAGUUCCCGAUCAGUUCAGCAGCUACUUUGAGGUGAGUUACCUUCCAGUAGCGGUGGGUC
Molecule: long non-coding RNA, 8205 nt
Filed under: Lactuca sativa (garden lettuce)
Lineage: Eukaryota; Viridiplantae; Streptophyta; Magnoliopsida; Asterales; Asteraceae
Description: long non-coding RNA (LSAT_LNC001622)
Source: RNAcentral